This 211-nucleotide unclassified non-coding RNA is filed under the name Hevea brasiliensis (rubber tree). The record is from RNAcentral. Lineage: Eukaryota; Viridiplantae; Streptophyta; Magnoliopsida; Malpighiales; Euphorbiaceae.
GAGAUCUGCUAAAACAUUUGACCUGAAAUUUUAUGGCAAUGCUAUUCAACUUGGUGACUUGAUUCAAAUAAAAGCUCAUGCUAGCUCCCAACUGGCAAAUUAUAUAGAACUAAACAUACAAGACCAGACCGGUAUAUAUAAUUCUUAACUCUUAAAAUAAUUGUUUCUAUUAUAGAUAAGUUCUCAAACCUCCUUUUCAAUCUGUUGGGCU